CCUUGUUCAGGUAAAUAGCAAAGCAACAUUAAUGUUUGCGGGUUUGAUUAACGAUGAAGUUCAGGAAAAUAUUAUCUGGCCAGACCUACCCUAUGUAACUGACGAACAUGGAAAUAUCUAUUUUCAAGUGAAGAGCACUGAAGAGACCUUGCAAAACCUAAAUUCAGAAAAUAACUUUGUGGUAUGGAUUUUGGCUUACAUAUUUAAUAUAAUGUCAUCACACCUCUCACAUCUCAUCUCAAACCAGAAGAUGUGUUCAUUUGUUUAUUUUUUAUUAUUCCGAACUUUUACUUGGCAUUUGAACGUUCCCUCGUGAUGGUAGGUAACGUGACAAAUUCUGCCGAUUUAAAGGAUAUACAUAGUAUAAAUAUAACUAAUUUCUCCGAUAUUUAUUUUUAUUCUUCGUAAUGCUUGUUCAGCCGGUAGGGUUUCAACUGUUGAAAUUAACCAAAUUUCAAUGAGUGUGCCAGCAUUUCAAUGCAAGUAGAAAGGUAUACCCUAGGUAUAUUUUGGAUAUCUUAAUUCAUGUUUUUCACUAUAAAUUUGGGAAUAAAGAUUGUAUUUAAGGACUUGCAUGCUUUUAAAGCAAUAAAGCAAGAAAUGGUUCUGUUAUACGUAUGUAAUUCAUAAGCAAAGAUUAUACAUGUUUUCAAAAGGUAUCAAAAUCAUCAGAUUUGUACUCAAAGACUGCUUUAUCUCAUUCCUACUGGAAAGUACAAGAAAAAAAAAAAAAAAAA
This is a non-coding RNA of Cucurbita pepo subsp. pepo (vegetable marrow), 737 nucleotides long. NCBI's taxonomy places the organism in Eukaryota, Viridiplantae, Streptophyta, Magnoliopsida, Cucurbitales, Cucurbitaceae. The record is from RefSeq and is a predicted model, not a curated record.